GGUAUGUUCAUGCUCAUGCUCAUCAUUGCCUUCUGUUCUUCAAUUCCUGCAUCAGUUCAUUGUUAACUUGUCUAGGAGUAUCAUACGCUGUGUAAAUUUAUAGUCUUUUUCUACAAGUUCAUUGCUAUGAAGUGUAAUUAUUUGUUGAUUUGACUCUAACAGGAAUCGCCCGAUUAUUUGAGGGGACUCAUAAAGACGACUAGGACCUUAACUGAUAAACCUUUCGGGGUUGGUGUCGUUCUAGCCUUUCCUUUUGAGGAGAAUUUGAAGGUCAUUCUGGAAGAAAAAGUUGCAGUCUUGCAAAUUUCAUGGGGUGAUUGUACAACGGAACUAGUAAAUAAGGCUCACGCUGCUGGGGUCAAAGUUGUUCCUCAAGUGAGUUUUCUGUUCAUUUAUUAAGAGUAUCAGGUUACUAACUAUACGCAAAUCCUAAAAGACAAUGAUAUCUUAAUUUUGGUUUUCUUUUUAUUUGCUUUGCAUAUUAAUUAUUCCGUUCUUGUGCUUUUUGAUGCCUGGCUGGAUUUAAACUUAGCCCAUUUUAUUUUCAUGUUAAGGAUAAUUAAACUCGAAAUUCGUUUGAAGUCAUGAUGAACCCUCAGUCUGCUAUAACUUGUACCAUUGCUGAGUUUAUAUUUCAUGAUUCUCCUUCCUUAUUUAUGCUUAGAUAAACUUUCCUGAAGUACUUGCAGAUUUAGCUUCUUCAAAGAGCUGAUAUUAACUUAUAUAUAAAUCAAUUUUAGCAUAUGAAAAAACAUAUUUCAUUUCUUGUUUUUGUCAGUGUUUAUGAAGAAAUUUAUAUUGCUAGUGGAUAGGUUGAUUGACUUAAGUGAUAUGCAGUCCCUUUUGUGAGGCAUGUUGAAAGCUAAUUGUAGGUUAUCGUCUGAAAUCUAAUCUGGGACUCGUAUUUUUAAUCCUAUUACAGGUGGGGAACAUUGAAGGUGCGAAACAAGCGAUUGAAGCAGGUGUGGAUGGGAUAAUUGUACAAGGACUUGAAGCUGGUGGUCAUGUAUUGGGUCAGGUGUGCAUGCUUGUCAUAAUUUUGAUAUAGUCUAUGUAGUAGUGGUUGCAGGUGUUGAAUAACUACACAUUACAUUGUUUUUCCUUGAGACACUUUUCCACAAGGGUAUUUUUUUGCUUGUGUUUUCUAUUCAAUAAAAGUCUGGAAAGGUAUUGAUUUAAGGAAGUGAUGAAUUAAAAAGCAAAAUUUCAUCACCAAUGCUUUUCUAUCAGAAAUAAUGAGUGUGCAAUUUCAAAUAUAUUCAAAUAUUCCCCAUACACUUGCAGAAAACCUUUCUAGUUAAAAGUAUUGUUGAAAUCUGGCUUGUUGGAUCUUUUCAGUAUUCACUGCCUCAUGUCCUUAGUUGUUUUGAGGGGAAGACCGUCACUUGUAUAUGUAACAUUCUCACAACCUUUGAAAAAGUUCAUCUUUUUGUUGUCUACCACCACCAUUGCUUAGUUGAUCAUUAGCAGCUGAUAUGAAUGAUAGCUAAUCAUGUUUUUUCAAUCGUGGAUCACAGACUACUAUUUUCCAUCUUUGCAUUGCCACUGAGAGACAGUGCUUUUUUCUUUCACGUAAUUGUAGGAUGGUCUAAUUACAUUGGUGUCAAGGGUGGUCGAUCUGGUUGGUGACAGAGAGAUACCAGUUAUUGCAGCUGGAGGAAUUGUGGAUAGUCGGGGUUAUGUUGCUGCUCUAGCCCUUGGUGCUCAAGGCGUCUGUUUAGGCACCAGGUUUUGAAAUAUUACUUUCACAUUAAUCAUAUUUGAGUAAAUUGCUCUCCUAUUGUUGCUGUAGUAUCUUGGCAUAUGCAAUUUUUGUCUUUAAAUCAAGAAUUCUGCCUCCAUGAUAGAAGCCUGCAAUGAGGCUUAUAAAUUCCACAAUUUAUUCUUCAUGAGAUUAUAGGUCUGUUGUGAUGAGAUAUACGAAGGUGCCCAACACUAUCUCCAUGUCCAACCUAAUAAUCUCAAUUUAAGUUAGAUUAUUCCUGACACUAUUACACAUUUUCAUAUAUGUUUUCAUGCCAAGAGUCUUGUUUGCAGGUUUUUGGCAACUGAGGAAAGCAAUGCUCAUUCUACAUACAAAAGGAAAUUGGUUGAACUUGAUGAGACUGCAUACACGGAUGUGUUUGGGAGGGCAAGAUGGCCUGGUGCUCCUCAUCGUGUCUUGCAGACACCUUUCUAUAAGGAAUGGAGAUCGCUUCCGGCACACGAAAACGAAACCA
RNAcentral lists this long non-coding RNA (2219 nucleotides) under Phaseolus vulgaris (common bean). RNAcentral describes it as "long non-coding RNA (PVUL_LNC002789)". The record is from RNAcentral. Lineage: Eukaryota; Viridiplantae; Streptophyta; Magnoliopsida; Fabales; Fabaceae.